UGGGGAAUUUUGGACAAUGGGCGAAAGCCUGAUCCAGCAAUGCCGCGUGUGUGAAGAAGGCCUUCGGGUUGUAAAGCACUUUUGUCCGGAAAGAAAUCCUUGGCUCUAAUACAGUCGGGGGAUGACGGUACCGGAAGAAUAAGCACCGGCUAACUACGUGCCAGCAGCCGCGGUAAUACGUAGGGUGCAAGCGUUAAUCGGAAUUACUGGGCGUAAAGCGUGCGCAGGCGGUUUGCUAAGACCGAUGUGAAAUCCCCGGGCNCAACCUGGGAACUGCAUUGGUGACUGGCAGGCUAGAGUAUGGCAGAGGGGGGUAGAAUUCCACGUGUAGCAGUGAAAUGCGUAGAGAUGUGGAGGAAUACCGAUGGC
This 369-nucleotide ribosomal RNA is filed under the name uncultured bacterium. Its description in RNAcentral is "partial 16S ribosomal RNA". It matches the Rfam family "Bacterial small subunit ribosomal RNA", at positions 355 to 716 of the family's 1533-position model. The record is from RNAcentral.